AAGCUGUAGCGAUCCUUAGGUCG
RNAcentral lists this non-coding RNA (23 nucleotides) under Cricetulus griseus (Chinese hamster). Lineage: Eukaryota; Metazoa; Chordata; Mammalia; Rodentia; Cricetidae. The record is from RNAcentral.